GACGAACGCUGGCGGCGUGCUUAACACAUGCAAGUCGAACGGAAAGGCCCUGCUUUUGUGGGGUGCUCGAGUGUCGAACGGGUGAGUAACACGUGAGUAACCUGCCCUUGCCUUUGGGAUAACUUCAGGAAACUGGGGCUAAUACCGGAUAGGAGCUCCUGCUGCAUGGUGGGGGUUUGAAAGUUUCGGCGGUUGGGGAUGGACUCGCGGCUUAUCAGCUUGUUGGUGGGGUAGUGGCUUACCAAGGCUUUGCUGGGUAGCCGGCCUGAGAGGGUGACCGGCCACAUGGGGACAGAGAUACGGCCCAGACUCAUAAGGGAGGCAGCAGUGGGGAAUAUUGCAAAAUGGGCGGAAGACUGAUGCAGCAACGACGAGUGCGGGAUGACGGCCUUCGGGUUGUAAACCGAUAUCGCCUGUGACGAAGCGUGAGUGAAGGUAAUGGGUAAAGAAGCACCGGCUAACUACGUG
This 468-nucleotide ribosomal RNA is filed under the name uncultured bacterium. RNAcentral's name for it is "partial 16S ribosomal RNA". It matches the Rfam family "Bacterial small subunit ribosomal RNA", at positions 28 to 507 of the family's 1533-position model. The record is from RNAcentral.